GACGAACGCUGGCGGCGUGCCUAAUACAUGCAAGUCGAACGAGAGCGACCGGUGCUUGCACUGGUCAAUCUAGUGGCGAACGGGUGAGUAACACGUGGGUAACCUGCCCAUCAGAGGGGGAUAACAUCCGGAAACGGAUGCUAAAACCGCAUAGGUCUUCGAACCGCAUGGUUUGAAGAGGAAAAGAGGCGCAAGCUUCUGCUGAUGGAUGGACCCGCGGUGCAUUAGCUAGUUGGUGAGGUAACGGCUCAGCAAGGCCGUGAUGCAUAGCCGACCUGAGAGGGUGAUCGGCCACAUUGGGAAUGAGACACGGCCCAAACGCCUACGGGAGGCAGCAGUAGGGAAUCUUCCGCAAUGGACGCAAGUCUGACGGAGCAACGCCGCGUGAGUGAAGAAGGUGUUCGGAUCGUAAAACUCUGUUGUUAGAGAAGAACAAGUGCUAGAGUAACUGUUAGCGCCUUGACGGUAUCUAACCAGAAAGCCACGGCUAACUACGUG
This 498-nucleotide ribosomal RNA is filed under the name uncultured bacterium. Its description in RNAcentral is "partial 16S ribosomal RNA". It matches the Rfam family "Bacterial small subunit ribosomal RNA", at positions 28 to 507 of the family's 1533-position model. The record is from RNAcentral.